RNAcentral lists this ribosomal RNA (538 nucleotides) under uncultured bacterium. Its description in RNAcentral is "partial 16S ribosomal RNA". It matches the Rfam family "Bacterial small subunit ribosomal RNA", at positions 355 to 901 of the family's 1533-position model. The record is from RNAcentral.
UGGGGAAUAUUGGACAAUGGGCGGAAGCCUGAUCCAGCAACGCCGCGUGAGGGAUGACGGCCUUCGGGUUGUAAACCUCUUUCAGUACCGACGAAGCGAAAGUGACGGUAGGUACAGAAGAAGGACCGGCCAACUACGUGCCAGCAGCCGCGGUAAUACGUAGGGUCCGAGCGUUGUCCGGAAUUAUUGGGCGUAAAGGGCUCGUAGGCGGUUUGUCGCGUCGGGAGUGAAAACAGCGGGCUUAACUCGUUGCUUGCUUUCGAUACGGGCAGACUAGAGGUAUGCAGGGGAGAAUGGAAUUCCUGGUGUAGCGGUGAAAUGCGCAGAUAUCAGGAGGAACACCGGUGGCGAAGGCGGUUCUCUGGGCAUUACCUGACGCUGAGGAGCGAAAGUGUGGGGAGCGAACAGGAUUAGAUACCCUGGUAGUCCACACCGUAAACGUUGGGCGCUAGGUGUGGGGUCCUUUCCACGGAUUCCGUGCCGUAGCUAACGCAUUAAGCGCCCCGCCUGGGGGAGUACGGCCGCAAGGCUAAAAACU